This 253-nucleotide ribosomal RNA is filed under the name uncultured bacterium. Its description in RNAcentral is "partial 16S ribosomal RNA". It matches the Rfam family "Bacterial small subunit ribosomal RNA", at positions 524 to 776 of the family's 1533-position model. The record is from RNAcentral.
GACGGAGGGCGCAAGCGUUGUUCGGAAUUACUGGGCGUAAAGCGCACGCAGGUGGUCUCUUAAGUCCACUGUUAAAUCACGGGGCUCAACCCCGGAGGUGCAGCGGAUACUGAGGGACUGGAGACCGGUAGAGGCUAGCGGAAUUCCUGGUGUAGCGGUGGAAUGCGUAGAUAUCAGGAGGAACACCGGUGGCGAAGGCGGCUAGCUGGGCCGGUUCUGACGCUCAUGUGCGAAAGCGUGGGGAGCAAACAGG